Molecule: ribosomal RNA, 71 nt
Filed under: Phialophora sp. CGMCC 3329
Lineage: Eukaryota; Fungi; Ascomycota; Eurotiomycetes; Chaetothyriales; Herpotrichiellaceae
Description: partial 28S ribosomal RNA
Source: RNAcentral
UUUAACCAAGGUUGACCUCGGAUCAGGUAGGAAUACCCGCUGAACUUAAGCAUAUCAAUAAGGCGGAGGAA